RNAcentral lists this long non-coding RNA (212 nucleotides) under Setaria viridis. Its description in RNAcentral is "long non-coding RNA (SVIR_LNC006305)". The record is from RNAcentral. Lineage: Eukaryota; Viridiplantae; Streptophyta; Magnoliopsida; Poales; Poaceae.
UGCGGCCAAGGGAUUCGAACGCUGGACCUCCAGCCUCAGUCCACAGAUCGCUUACCACUCAGACUAUGAGGAAUUGUUGUAUAGGAGACAUCCGCAGUCCUAUUUAAUAAGGGCAAAGAAGGAAAACUCCCCCCUAAUUAAUCACUCUUUGGCACUCCUUGGUAAGCGUAAUCCUGUCCUAAACGACUUCUAAUUGCGAUACGGAGGGAGUA